CCUACGGGUGGCUGCAGUGGGGAAUAUUGGACAAUGGGGGGAACCCUGAUCCAGCCAUGCCGCGUGUGUGAAGAAGGCCCUCGGGUUGUAAAGCACUUUCAGUGAGGAAGAACGCCUGGUGGUUAAUACCCAUCAGGAAAGACAUCACUCACAGAAGAAGCACCGGCUAACUCCGUGCCAGCAGCCGCGGUAAUACGGAGGGUGCGAGCGUUAAUCGGAAUUACUGGGCGUAAAGCGCGCGUAGGUGGCUUGAUAAGCCGGUUGUGAAAGCCCCGGGCUCAACCUGGGAACGGCAUCCGGAACUGUCAAGCUAGAGUGCAGGAGAGGAAGGUAGAAUUCCCGGUGUAGCGGUGAAAUGCGUAGAGAUCGGGAGGAAUACCAGUGGCGAAUGCGGCCUUCUGGACUGACACUGACACUGAGGUGCGAAAGCGUGGGUAGCAAACAGGAUUAGAUACCCUUGUAGUC
RNAcentral lists this ribosomal RNA (465 nucleotides) under Vreelandella stevensii. RNAcentral describes it as "partial 16S ribosomal RNA". It matches the Rfam family "Bacterial small subunit ribosomal RNA", at positions 338 to 795 of the family's 1533-position model. The record is from RNAcentral. Lineage: Bacteria; Pseudomonadati; Pseudomonadota; Gammaproteobacteria; Oceanospirillales; Halomonadaceae.